UACGGAGGAUCCAAGCGUUAUCCGGAUUUAUUGGGCUUAAAGGGCGCGCAGGCGGUUUGUUAAGUCUAGGGUGAAAGCUCCCGGCUCAACUGGGAGAGGUCCUUGGAUACUGGCGAACUUGAGGGAUGCAGAGGAAAGCGGAAUUCCGGGUGUAGCGGUGAAAUGCGUAGAUAUCCGGAGGAACACCGGUGGCGAAGGCGGCUUCCUGGACCGACACUGACGCUGAGGCGCGAAAGCUAGGGGAGCAAACGGG
This 253-nucleotide ribosomal RNA is filed under the name uncultured bacterium. RNAcentral describes it as "partial 16S ribosomal RNA". It matches the Rfam family "Bacterial small subunit ribosomal RNA", at positions 524 to 776 of the family's 1533-position model. The record is from RNAcentral.